CUACAGGCUUAACACAUGCAAGUCGAGGGGCAGCAUUUUAGUUUGCUUGCAAACUGAAGAUGGCGACCGGCGCACGGGUGAGUAACACGUAUCCAACCUGCCGAUAACUCCGGAAUAGCCUUUCGAAAGAAAGAUUAAUACCGGAUAGCAUACGAAUAUCGCAUGAUAUUUUUAUUAAAGAAUUUCGGUUAUCGAUGGGGAUGCGUUCCAUUAGUUUGUUGGCGGGGUAACGGCCCACCAAGACUACGAUGGAUAGGGGUUCUGAGAGGAAGGUCCCCCACAUUGGAACUGAGACACGGUCCAAACUCCUACGGGAGGCAGCAGUGAGGAAUAUUGGUCAAUGGGCGAGAGCCUGAACCAGCCAAGUAGCGUGAAGGAUGAAGGCUCUAUGGGUCGUAAACUUCUUUUAUAUGGGAAUAAAGUUUUCCACGUGUGGAAUUUUGUAUGUACCAUAUGAAUAAGGAUCGGCUAACUCCGUGCCAGCAGCCGCGGUAAUACGGAGGAUCCGAGCGUUAUCCGGAUUUAUUGGGUUUAAAGGGAGCGUAGGUGGAUUGUUAAGUCAGUUGUGAAAGUUUGCGGCUCAACCGUAAAAUUGCAGUUGAAACUGGCAGUCUUGAGUACAGUAGAGGUGGGCGGAAUUCGUGGUGUAGCGGUGAAAUGCUUAGAUAUCACGAAGAACUCCGAUUGCGAAGGCAGCUCACUAGACUGUCACUGACACUGAUGCUCGAAAGUGUGGGUAUCAAACAGGAUUAGAUACCCUGGUAGUCCACACAGUAAACGAUGAAUACUCGCUGUUUGCGAUAUACAGUAAGCGGCCAAGCGAAAGCAUUAAGUAUUCCACCUGGGGAGUACGCCGGCAACGGUGAAACUCAAAGGAAUUGACGGGGGCCCGCACAAGCGGAGGAACAUGUGGUUUAAUUCGAUGAUACGCGAGGAACCUUACCCGGGCUUAAAUUGCAACAGAAUAUAUUGGAAACAGUAUAGCCGUAAGGCUGUUGUGAAGGUGCUGCAUGGUUGUCGUCAGCUCGUGCCGUGAGGUGUCGGCUUAAGUGCCAUAACGAGCGCAACCCUUAUCUUUAGUUACUAACAGGUCAUGCUGAGGACUCUAGAGAGACUGCCGUCGUAAGAUGUGAGGAAGGUGGGGAUGACGUCAAAUCAGCACGGCCCUUACGUCCGGGGCUACACACGUGUUACAAUGGGGGGUACAGAAGGCGGCUACCUGGUGACAGGAUGCUAAUCCCAAAAACCUCUCUCAGUUCGGAUCGAAGUCUGCAACCCGACUUCGUGAAGCUGGAUUCGCUAGUAAUCGCGCAUCAGCCAUGGCGCGGUGAAUACGUUCCCGGGCCUUGUACACACCGCCCGUCAAGCCAUGAAAGCCGGGGGUACCUGAAGUACGUAACCGCAAGGAGCGUCCUAGGGUAAAACUGGUAAUUG
RNAcentral lists this ribosomal RNA (1434 nucleotides) under uncultured organism. Its description in RNAcentral is "SSU rRNA". It matches the Rfam family "Bacterial small subunit ribosomal RNA". The record is from RNAcentral.